RNAcentral lists this ribosomal RNA (1372 nucleotides) under uncultured bacterium. Its description in RNAcentral is "bacterial SSU rRNA". It matches the Rfam family "Bacterial small subunit ribosomal RNA", at positions 28 to 1381 of the family's 1533-position model. The record is from RNAcentral.
GAUGAACGCUGGCGGCGUGCCUAAUACAUGCAAGUCGAGCGAACGGACGAGAAGCUUGCUUCUCUGAUGUUAGCGGCGGACGGGUGAGUAACACGUGGAUAACCUACCUAUAGGACUGGGAUAACUUCGGGAAACCGGAGCUAAUACCGGAUAAUAUUUUGAACCGCAUGGUUCAAAAGUGAAAGACGGUCUUGCUGUCACUUAUAGAUGGAUCCGCGCUGCAUUAGCUAGUUGGUAAGGUAACGGCUUACCAAGGCAACGAUGCAUAGCCGACCUGAGAGGGUGAUCGGCCACACUGGAACUGAGACACGGUCCAGACUCCUACGGGAGGCAGCAGUAGGGAAUCUUCCGCAAUGGGCGAAAGCCUGACGGAGCAACGCCGCGUGAGUGAUGAAGGUCUUCGGAUCGUAAAACUCUGUUAUUAGGGAAGAACAUAUGUGUAAGUAACUGUGCACAUCUUGACGGUACCUAAUCAGAAAGCCACGGCUAACUACGUGCCAGCAGCCGCGGUAAUACGUAGGUGGCAAGCGUUAUCCGGAAUUAUUGGGCGUAAAGCGCGCGUAGGCGGUUUUUUAAGUCUGAUGUGAAAGCCCACGGCUCAACCGUGGAGGGUCAUUGGAAACUGGAAAACUUGAGUGCAGAAGAGGAAAGUGGAAUUCCAUGUGUAGCGGUGAAAUGCGCAGAGAUAUGGAGGAACACCAGUGGCGAAGGCGACUUUCUGGUCUGUAACUGACGCUGAUGUGCGAAAGCGUGGGGAUCAAACAGGAUUAGAUACCCUGGUAGUCCACGCCGUAAACGAUGAGUGCUAAGUGUUAGGGGGUUUCCGCCCCUUAGUGCUGCAGCUAACGCAUUAAGCACUCCGCCUGGGGAGUACGACCGCAAGGUUGAAACUCAAAGGAAUUGACGGGGACCCGCACAAGCGGUGGAGCAUGUGGUUUAAUUCGAAGCAACGCGAAGAACCUUACCAAAUCUUGACAUCCUUUGACAACUCUAGAGAUAGAGCCUUCCCCUUCGGGGGACAAAGUGACAGGUGGUGCAUGGUUGUCGUCAGCUCGUGUCGUGAGAUGUUGGGUUAAGUCCCGCAACGAGCGCAACCCUUAAGCUUAGUUGCCAUCAUUAAGUUGGGCACUCUAAGUUGACUGCCGGUGACAAACCGGAGGAAGGUGGGGAUGACGUCAAAUCAUCAUGCCCCUUAUGAUUUGGGCUACACACGUGCUACAAUGGACAAUACAAAGGGCAGCGAAACCGCGAGGUCAAGCAAAUCCCAUAAAGUUGUUCUCAGUUCGGAUUGUAGUCUGCAACUCGACUACAUGAAGCUGGAAUCGCUAGUAAUCGUAGAUCAGCAUGCUACGGUGAAUACGUUCCCGGGUCU